The sequence is a regulatory RNA element, 98 nucleotides long. It matches the Rfam family "ALIL pseudoknot". The record is from Rfam.
GGCGCAUUUUGCCGAGGCGGAGCUCGGCCGUCGGCACCAGUCAUGAUCGCGUCGAUCGACCAUCGCCGCGCGGCUGAGGGGGGCGAACCGCGGCUCCC